RNAcentral lists this ribosomal RNA (433 nucleotides) under uncultured bacterium. RNAcentral describes it as "partial 16S ribosomal RNA". It matches the Rfam family "Bacterial small subunit ribosomal RNA", at positions 29 to 507 of the family's 1533-position model. The record is from RNAcentral.
AACGAACGCUGGCGGCAUGCCUAACACAUGCCAGUCGAACGAGACCUUCGGGUCUAGUGGCGCACGGGUGCGUAACGCGUGGGAACCUGCCCUUAGGUUCGGAAUAACUCCCCGAAAGGGGUGCUAAUACCGGAUAAUGUCUUCGGACCAAAGAUUUAUCGCCUUUGGAUGGGCCCGCGUUGGAUUAGCUAGUUGGUAGGGUAAAAGCCUACCAAGGCGACGAUCCAUAGCUGGUCUGAGAGGAUGAUCAGCCACACUGGGACUGAGACACGGCCCAGACUCCUACGGGAGGCAGCAGUGGGGAAUAUUGGACAAUGGGCGAAAGCCUGAUCCAGCAAUGCCGCGUGAGUGAUGAAGGCCUUAGGGUCGUAAAGCUCUUUUACCCGGGAUGAUAAUGACAGUACCGGGAGAAUAAGCUCCGGCUAACUCCGUG